This 253-nucleotide ribosomal RNA is filed under the name Parasutterella excrementihominis YIT 11859. RNAcentral describes it as "partial 16S ribosomal RNA". It matches the Rfam family "Bacterial small subunit ribosomal RNA", at positions 524 to 776 of the family's 1533-position model. Lineage: Bacteria; Pseudomonadati; Pseudomonadota; Betaproteobacteria; Burkholderiales; Sutterellaceae. The record is from RNAcentral.
UACGUAGGGUGCGAGCGUUAAUCGGAAUUACUGGGCGUAAAGGGUGCGCAGGCGGUUGAGUAAGACAGAUGUGAAAUCCCCGAGCUUAACUCGGGAAUGGCAUAUGUGACUGCUCGACUAGAGUGUGUCAGAGGGAGGUGGAAUUCCACGUGUAGCAGUGAAAUGCGUAGAUAUGUGGAAGAACACCGAUGGCGAAGGCAGCCUCCUGGGGCAUAACUGACGCUCAGGCACGAAAGCGUGGGGAGCAAACAGG